AUCCUACGGGAGGCAGCAGUGGGGAAUAUUGCACAAUGGGCGAAAGCCUGAUGCAGCAACGCCGCGUGAAGGAAGAAGGGCUUCGGCUCGUAAACUUCUAUCAACAGGGACGAAAGAAAUGACGGUACCUGAAUAAGAAGCCCCGGCUAACUACGUGCCAGCAGCCGCGGUAAUACGUAGGGGGCAAGCGUUAUCCGGAUUUACUGGGUGUAAAGGGAGCGUAGACGGCAGGGCAAGUCUGGAGUGAAAGGCAGGGGCCCAACCCCUGGACUGCUCUGGAAACUGUCCGGC
This 291-nucleotide ribosomal RNA is filed under the name uncultured bacterium. RNAcentral describes it as "partial 16S ribosomal RNA". It matches the Rfam family "Bacterial small subunit ribosomal RNA", at positions 335 to 641 of the family's 1533-position model. The record is from RNAcentral.